Ictalurus punctatus (channel catfish) is the source of this 2410-nucleotide long non-coding RNA. Lineage: Eukaryota; Metazoa; Chordata; Actinopteri; Siluriformes; Ictaluridae. The record is from Ensembl.
AGAGAGAGAGAGAGUGAGAGUCAGAGAGAGAAACACAGAGAGACAGAGACAGACACACAGAGAGAGAGAGAGUGAGAGAGAGAGAGUGAGAGUCAGAGAGAGAAACACAGAGAGACAGAGACAGACACACACAGAGAGAGAGAGUGAGAGAGAGUGAGAGUCAGAGAGAGAAACACAGAGAGACAGAGACAGACACACAGAGAGAGAGAGAGUGAGAGAGAGAGAGAGUGAGAGUCAGAGAGAGAAACACAGAGAGACAGAGACAGACACACACAGAGAGAGAGAGUGAGAGAGAGAGAGAGUCAGAGAGAGAAACACAGAGAGACAGAGACAGAGAGAGACACACACAGAGAGAGAGAGUGAGAAUCAGAGAGAGGGAGACAGAGCGAGACCUCGUGGUAACGCUCGAGUCCCACGGUUGUGGUUGGCGAGUUCCUGCAGCUCCUGAGACGGGUCGGCUCCGGGAGAAAUGAUGAUCAGCACCGGUUCUGUCUCCACCGUCUCUCCAUAGAGCCGUCUCAGGUUUAACGGGGGAGGAGACAGUUCCUUUAUUCCUACACACACACAAGAAAUUGAUGGGACUGUACACAGUGAUAAUGUAUCGAAUAAUAAAGCGGAUGUUGGCGCGCAUGCCUGGUUGCGUUUGGUUUAUUAUUUAUGAUCUGCGCAGACGUUUGUGAGUAACUCCUGCGGAUCUCGCUCUCGGAACCGUCCGACAUGCUGGAGUGUUGAAAAGAUGAAAUAUAAAAGAAACGGAUAAAAGACAUGAGUGUAGAUAAGCAAGAAGUUAAGCUGAGGUCAAGAUGAAAGGCUUGUGUGUUUCCGGCAGGGAUUUGCUGCAACACACACACACACACACUACACACACUUGAAUUAAUCAGGGAAUGAUUAAGUGGGAGAUGUUAUCCUACUGUUUUGCCUCGGGGUGAGACACGACCCGAGCGUGUGUGUGUGUGUGUGUGUGUGUGUGUGUGUGUGUGUGUGCGCGAGAGCAUGUAGCGUAUCUAAUAAUGCUCUUUGAGCUCAGAGUUCGUGUUGUGUUCGUGCUCUGUUUAUCUUUAUAAACACUCCACAGUCCUCCACUCCUGCCUCCCAGGUGCGUUACAGUACACCUUCUAGUGCAUGUCCAUGUGGUCAGUCUAACAUUUUUGGAAGGAGUCUCCAGUGUCAGUGCUUUGUAACAGUCAGCUUUCUGACUGAAUUUAUUGAUUGAUUGAUUUUUACACUAUUCCGUAAAAUUUCUACAUGACUAUACAGUGUAAUACUGCUAAUAUGAUUAGGAGUGCUUACAACAGCCACAACACACACACACACACACACACACACAAUAUGGUGUGUGUGUUGUGGAGCUGUAGCAUCUGGCACAUUAGUACUCAUAAGCCAGAUUAUCCGGAUAAAGUCAUUAGCAUGCUCACCCUGUGUUAGCAUUAACUUGUUAUUGGUCUACUGAGAUUAAGAGCCACUGAAUAGAGUCAUACUGAGUUAUAUACAUUAGCACUGCCAUGAAGCCUGAGGGGAAGGGUGAGAGAGAGAGAGAGAGAGAGAGAGAGAGAGAGAGAAAAUAGAGAGGAGAAAAGGUUGACAGAAGGAGACAGAAAAGGGAACGGUGAGAUGAAGAUAGAUAGAGUGUGAGAGAGACACACGAAGAGAGAAGCAACGAGACAGCAAGAACGAGAGAGAGGCAAAGAGACAGGAGCAAAGAGGGAGAUAGAGAGAUAGAUACAGAGAGAGAUAUAUACAGAGAGAGAGAUACAGAGAGAGAUAUACAGAGAGAGAUAUACAGAGAGAGAUAGAUACAGAGAGAGACAGAUACAGAGAGAGACGUACAGAGAGAGAUGUACAGAGAGAGACAGAUACAGAGAGACAGAUACAGAGAGAGAUGUACAGAGAGAGAGAUAUACAGAGAGAGAGAUACAGAGAGAUAUACAGAGAGAGAUACAGAGAGAUAUACAGAGAGAUAUAUACAGAGAGAGAUGUACAGAGAGAGAUAUACAGAGAGAGAUAUACAGAGAGAGAUGUACAGAGAGAUGUACAGAGAGAUGUACAGAGAGAGAUACAGAGAGAGAUGUACAGAGAGAGAGAUACAGAGAGAGAUAUACAGAGAGAGAGAUACAGAGAGAGAUGUACAGAGAGAUAUGUACAGAGAGAUAUACAGAGAGAGAUGUACAGAGAGAGAUGUACAGAGAGAGAUAUACAGAGAGAGAUAUACAGAGAGAUAUACAGAGAGAGAUGUACAGAGAGAGAUAUACAGAGAGAGAUAUACAGAGAGAGAGAUAGAGAGAUACAGAGAGAGAUACAGAGAGAGAGAUAUACAGAGAGAGAUAUAGAGAGAUAUACAGAGAGAGAUAUAGAGAGAGAGAGAGAUAUAGAGAGAGAGAGAGAUACAGAGAGAGAGAUAGAGAAAGAUAUA